RNAcentral lists this ribosomal RNA (741 nucleotides) under Habroloma sp. RNAcentral's name for it is "12S ribosomal RNA". Lineage: Eukaryota; Metazoa; Arthropoda; Insecta; Coleoptera; Buprestidae. The record is from RNAcentral.
GAUUCUAUCUUUAGGAUUUAUUUUAAUUAUUAUUUUCAUGCAAUUUUGGUAUUUUUUAUAGAUAGCUUGCAGUGAUUAGUAUUAAAUAUUUAGGUAACUAAGAUUUAGAAAUAAUUUGAAAUUUUAACAAAAUUUGUGCCAGCAGUUGCGGUUAGACAAAUAAGGUAAAUAAAUCUUUUUAGUAUUUAGUUAAUAGUAUUAAGUUGAAUUUAAUGUUGAUUUUUAUUAGGUGGAAUUUAAAGCUUGUUUUAAAAUUUUAUUUUAUGAAGCUGUGAAAUUUUUAUUAUAAACUAGGAUUAGAUACCCUAUUAUUAAAAAUGUAAAAUAAGUUACUAGGUUAGUAUUAGUUAUGUUCUUGAAAACAAAAGAUUUUGGCGGUAUUUUAGUCUUUCCAGAGGAACCUGUCCUGUAAUUGAUAUCCCACAAUAAAUAUUACUUGCUUUAUUAGCUUAUAUAUCGUCGUAUAAGAUUAUUUUAAAAGAAUUUUAAUAGUCAUAAUUCUUUAUUUAGAUAAAAAUCAGAUCAAGAUGUAGUUUAUAGGCAAGAAGAGAUGGGUUACAAUAAAUUAAUUUAUAUGGUAAUAUAGUUGAAAAUAUUUUAUUUAAAUUGGAUUUGGAAGUAAUUUUAUUUUAUUAUUUAAAAUGAUUUAGCUCUAAAAUAUGCACAUAUCGCCCGUCGCUUUCAUUAAAGUGAAAUAAGUCGUAACAAAGUAGGCUUACUGGAAAGUGUGCCUAGAAUGAU